AUGCCUAAUCCCUUCAUAAACACCCUUGUGCAAACUCCCAUUCCCUUGCCCAAGUGUUUACCAAACAGGCUGUCAAAGGAAGAUAGAGGGGGGAAUAAUGAGGGCGGAAGCGGGCCCCCAUCGCUACCAAUUCCAACCAAGGGAAUGAGCGCCUCCAUGAAGGAGGAUAGCCAAGGGGAAGAAUAUGACCUUCUCUCGCUCCGGGGAAGGAAGAGGACUGCCUCUGAAGAUCCGGAAACCAAGGCUUCCAAACGGGAGAAGAAGUCUCCGCCAGAGGGUCCUGCCUCGGAGGGCGCCUUUGCCGAACGAAGUCCGCGCGGGGAUCAGCCCUCUAACGAGCCGUAA
Molecule: ribosomal RNA, 345 nt
Filed under: Triticum aestivum (bread wheat)
Lineage: Eukaryota; Viridiplantae; Streptophyta; Magnoliopsida; Poales; Poaceae
Description: partial small subunit ribosomal RNA
Source: RNAcentral